CCUACGGGAGGCAGCAGUGGGGAAUAUUGGGCAAUGGGCGCAAGCCUGACCCAGCAACGCCGCGUGAAGGAAGAAGGCCCUCGGGUUGUAAACCUCUUUUAUCAGGGACGAAACAAAUGACGGUACCUGCUGAAUAAGCCACGGCUAACUACGUGCCAGCAGCCGCGGUAAUAUGUAGGUGGCAAGCGUUAUCCGGAUUUACUGGGUGUAAAGGGCGGGUAGGCGGGAGAGCAAGUCAGACGUGAAAGUCCAGGGCCCAACCCUGGAACUGCGUUUGAAACUGUUCUUCUUGAGUGAUGGAGAGGCAGGCGGAAUGCCGGGUGUAGCGGUGAAAUGCUUAGAUAUUGCGCAGAACUCCGAUUGCGAAGGCAGCAUACCGGCGGCGAUCUGACGCUGAGGCACGAAAGCGUGGGUAUCGAACAGGAUUAGAUACCCUAGUAGUC
This 443-nucleotide ribosomal RNA is filed under the name uncultured bacterium. RNAcentral describes it as "partial 16S ribosomal RNA". It matches the Rfam family "Bacterial small subunit ribosomal RNA", at positions 338 to 795 of the family's 1533-position model. The record is from RNAcentral.